CUCAAACUAAAAGGUUCCUUCUCAGCAAAAUAAACAAUCUGUGAGGUGAAUAGAGAGCCUACAUCUUGGUGGCAAAUCUUUACCCCUCACACAUCAGAUAGAGCACUAGUUAUUAGGGUAUAUAAAGAACUCAAAAAGCUAGACACAAAAAAACAAAACAAACAAACAAACAAAAAAAAAAUCUGAAUAACCCAAUCAAUAAAUGGGCCAAGGACCUGAAGGCACACUUCUCAGAAGAUGAUGUACUAUCAAUAGACAUACAUAGGAAAAAAUGUUCAGCAUCACUAGCAAUUAGAGAAAUGCAAAUCAAAACCACUAUAAGAUUUCAUCUCACUCCAGUCAGAAUAGCAGCUAUUAUGAAGACAAACAACAAUAAGUGUUGGCGAGGAUGUGGGGAAAAAGGUACACUCAUACACUGCUGGUGGGACUUCAAAUUGGUGCAGUCAAUAUGAAAAGCAGUAUGGAGAUUUCUUGGAAAACUGGGAAUGGAACCACCAUUUGAUUCAGCUAUCCCUCUCCUCUGUCUAUACCCAAAGGACUUAAAAACAGCAUACUACAGGGACACAGCCACAUCAAUGUUUAUAGCAACAGAAUUCACAAUAGCUAAAUUUUGGAAACAAGCUAGAUGCCCUUCAAUAGAUAAAUGGUUGAAAAAAUGUGGGAUAUAUGCCCAAUGGAGUAUUACUCAGCAAUAAAAGAGAAUAAAAUCAUGGCAUUUGCAGGUAAAUGGAUGGAGUUAGAGAAGAUAAGGCUAAGUGAAGUUAGCCAAUCCCCAAAAUCCAAAUGCCAAAUGUUUUCUUUUAGAUAAGAAAUCUGAUUCAUAGUAGAAUAGGGAGAGGGAACAUGGGAGGAAUAGAUGAACUCUAGAUAGGGCAGAGGGGUGGGAGGGAAGGGAAGGGGGCAUGGAGUAACUAAUGAUGGUUCAAUGUGCUGAUCAUUAUUAUCCAAAGUACAUGUAUGAAGAAACCAAUUGGUGUCAGUAUACUAUGUAUACAACAAGGGAUAUGAAAAAUUGAACUUUAUAUAUGUAAUAAG
Molecule: long non-coding RNA, 1035 nt
Filed under: Marmota monax (woodchuck)
Lineage: Eukaryota; Metazoa; Chordata; Mammalia; Rodentia; Sciuridae
Source: RNAcentral